Molecule: long non-coding RNA, 3331 nt
Organism: Melitaea cinxia (Glanville fritillary)
Lineage: Eukaryota; Metazoa; Arthropoda; Insecta; Lepidoptera; Nymphalidae
Exons: 2
Source: RefSeq, a predicted model, not a curated record
CGCCGCGCCCGGCGCGAUCGGUGCCGCUUACACACGACUGCUGACGAUAACUUACGAACGCGAUUGAAGAGAUCGUUUAUUUGAUCGAAAUCCAUUGUAAGAAAUUUAAAUCACUCCUUGACGUAUCGAAAAUGCCCAUUAGAAGUUUCUCGACGAUCGUACGAUGGAAACUAUUUGACGUGAAAAUUGAAAUUCACUUCAUCGCAAUCUAUUAACGUAAGGCAGUUGAAAUUGCAAUUGAUCGUCUCGGGGGUGCUUUAUUGAUUUUUGCGAGACCGCUGUUCCAAUUGCCUUUGUCGAGCGCGUGCAUCUCUUCGCCGACUCCGACUGGAGAACGGUAGGCGUUCAACAAAUGUUAUAAUAGUGGUUUCAAAGUUAUCCCAGUCAAUUUUGUUACCCAUUAACCUACUAGAUUUGUCACUCGCUACCUAUCACAUACCAUAACUACAAUUCCGUUACCACUGAGAAACGCUAAUAGAAAGAAAAUUACAAAACUUUUGUUCAUAUCAACUAAUUUCUUGUUUCCUUCUAAUAAAAAACUUUAUUUAAUGUGUAUUAAUGUAUAAAAAAUGUGUAUCAACUUGACAAGAGCUGUAAAUUUUCAUUUAGUUACAUGUACAAUUUGUAAAUUGCAGAAUACUUCAAUUGUUUAAUACAAUACAAACUACACGUUACAAUUCGUAUGUGCUUAUUUUUAUACAUGUCCAUGUAAUAUCUGAAUAUAAACAUUUGGUUAAUCAAGUUCAUUAUUACAGACAUGUGAAAAGUAACCCUUUGAUGCACAUCUCAUGACUGUAGUUUCUUUUAAAACGGAUUAUUUUUAAUCAAUGUAAAAUAAUCGACUUAAAUAGUAAUAUUUGAUUGUAUUCAGUGAAUUUCAAAUAAGUUUCAAUUAGAAACGACAAUUUUAAGUUUGAUUUAUUGUUAAUUAAAAACUACAGUGUGUAUGUUUGUAUGAAUUACUUUUGUUAUUGUAUCAUGAAAUGUUUCUCAGUGAGUUUAUCUAACACCAUGUGGAGUUUGUGUUGUAGAGAGUUUUGUUAAGAGCACAAUAUUACUUUAAAAAUAGAAAUGUAUUCGUUUAAAUGUAAAUCCGUUGAAAGAAUGUCUUUAGUGUAAAACAGAUCCAUUCAUAUGUAUAAUUUAUAGUGCUGGUGUUUGUAAAAAUAAAACAUGUAGCGUUACAGCGCGCUUAAUUAUCUUAUUGUAUAGUAGUCUACUUUACUAUUUGAAUUUAAGUACCCUUGAUGUCGAGCGGUCGAUGGCGGGAAAUGUGGCGUGAAUUAUAUGUUAAAAUAAUUGCGGCGCCCGCGUGACAGUGGCCCGAUCUAUAAAAAUGUAAAUAUUGACUUAAAAUAUUAAAUCAUACGCUCAACUAAUAUCUCGGAAAACCAAAAAGCUAUCUUUGGUUUAAAUGCGUUAUCGCUAGCUUAAUAGUAUAGGCUUGUGGUUUUCGAAGAUGUUGUUUAAGGGUUUGUUAAUUUUAAAUUAAUAUUUAUAUUUCUGUACGUUUGGCCACUUUUGUGCGGGUCGUCCGAUAUAAAUAAUUAAAUAGGUGAUGUUUUCACAAGUGACGUCACUUUGUGAUGGCGGGGCGCGGGAAGCGUUUAAAUUUUAAGUCACCGCAAUUUUAGGUUCUUGCCCCUCACCGUCGGGCCACCUCACACCGUCGCAGACGAGAGAGAGAGAGAGUGAGAGAGGUCGGUGUGAGGUGGGUCGCCGGCUCGCCCGCGCUAUUUAUGCUGGUAUGUUCAUUAUGCGCGGCCGGACGGCGCGAUUUACUGUUGUAUGUAACUUACGAUGUAUCAAAGACACUUUAGACCUCAUUAAACAGCAUACCUUUGCUAUACGGCAGUUUUAUUUCAAAACUCACCAUCGACUGGCGGGAACGAAUGGACAUACCACCAUAAUGGGACUGGUAACCGAACAAGGAGCAGAGUAUGGCUUUGCUCUCCUAAACUUUUUCUAUCUGUUGUAUCAUAGAGCCUAGUUUUUUUUUUAUUUCGUAGAUCAAAUGCUAAAAGGUUCCAUUUUUUAACUUUUAAAACGUAAUUUUUUAAAUGUUUUUCUGAUUUUACGUAUUUGGACCUGCUUUCCAUGAACAAAUAAAAUUGAGCACAACGUACACAUUGACGGGCGUUCUCGUUGCUACGUAUCUUGUGUAGAACAAUAGCAUUUAGUUUUUAUGACAGAAUUGUUGGAUAUAUUUACGUAAAUUAAUAUAUACGCAUGACUAAGUCACAUAAAAGUAUUAAUUUUUUUUUAUAUUACGCGUUUUGAAGGCACCGCAUCUGUUCUGUCAUAAAUAUUGAGACGUGCAUUUCGAGAUUGAUUUAUUAAAAUUCUCCUGUUCUUGUGCCACAGUACCUGUAUUACAUGGAAUAAAUUGUUUCACAAGCGUGGAGCUUUAAUAGUUUCUUUUAAUUCGUUUUUUUUUUACUUAUAUAAUUUAGGUAGACGUGUAAAUACCUAAAGACGAGGUGUUACUUGUUAUCCUUCAAUGAGCACGAAUUAUUUCACUGCGAUAUAAAUCAAAUACACUGGGAAAUACUUGGUAGAUAAUAAAAUUUACAACUUUAAAUGUUACUUUCUGAACAUAUGUACAAGUUUCUAGUAUUGUGGUCAAUUUUAACUGCUGAACUUUACCACGAUUACUUUUAAUUUAGUUGCAUUUUUAAUGAAAUUAAAGUAAUAGGUUCAGUUAAAUAUAAUUCCAUGUAUGUUUAAGAUUCGGGCGAUGUUUGGAAUGUUCCCCAAGCUAACGAAGCAUAAGAUUACAUUUCCAAGACAGCACUACGAUUGUUUAAUAAAAGCGUGUGUAAUAUUGAUACAAAGAAUUACCCACCAAUGACAUCGGAAGCCACACGUUUCUUUAAGUAUUAAGUGUGUAAGUUAGGUAAACAAAUAAAUCCUAAAAACUACAAAAAAAAAAUAUGUAUGAACUUGAGCUUCAUUUGUGUGAAAUAAAAUAUAAAUUUGAACUUAAUGAUGUAAGCGUAGGGUUUUAUUUCUUUAGUUAUCUCACACAAUCGAAGCUCAUUAUAUUUAAUUAUUAAGGCUUUCUUGGCAAUCCGUUUUGUGUAUAAUGCAACAUUCAGGAGUAUUCGGGCAAGUAUAAUAAACUUUUAUACGGAGCGAGUGUUGUGUAAGAAAGAGCAAAUACAAAGUUGUGUCUGAUAUAUAUUGAUAUAUACACAUUAUACGGUUAUAUUUAAAGUUAAAAAUCGACAAAAUUAUGCAAUAAUGAAAGUGGAAACAAAAAACAGUUUAUUCUUUCAACUCUGUACUAUGGCCGUUGAUAGGUAUUAGAUAAUAAAUAAAAUUAAAUAUA